RNAcentral lists this ribosomal RNA (433 nucleotides) under uncultured bacterium. RNAcentral's name for it is "partial 16S ribosomal RNA". It matches the Rfam family "Bacterial small subunit ribosomal RNA", at positions 29 to 507 of the family's 1533-position model. The record is from RNAcentral.
AAUGAACGCUGGCGGCAGGCCUAACACAUGCAAGUCGAGCGAGCAUUUCGGUGCUAGCGGCGGACGGGUGAGUAACGCGUGGGAACGUGCCCUUUUCUGCGGAAUAGUCCUGGGAAACUGGGGGUAAUACCGCAUACGCCCUUUCGGGGAAAGAUUUAUCGGAGAAGGAUCGGCCCGCGUUGGUUUAGGUAGUUGGUGGGGUAAUGGCCCACCAAGCCGACGAUCCAUAGCUGGUUUGAGAGGAUGAUCAGCCACACUGGGACUGAGACACGGCCCAGACUCCUACGGGAGGCAGCAGUGGGGAAUCUUAGACAAUGGGGGCAACCCUGAUCUAGCCAUGCCGCGUGAGUGAUGAAGGCCUUAGGGUUGUAAAGCUCUUUCAGCUGGGAAGAUAAUGACGGUACCAGCAGAAGAAGCCCCGGCUAACUCCGUG